RNAcentral lists this ribosomal RNA (303 nucleotides) under uncultured bacterium. RNAcentral describes it as "partial 16S ribosomal RNA". It matches the Rfam family "Bacterial small subunit ribosomal RNA", at positions 507 to 807 of the family's 1533-position model. The record is from RNAcentral.
AGCAGUCGCCGCGGUAAUACGGAGGGUGCAAGCGUUAAUCGGAAUUACUGGGCGUAAAGCGCACGCAGGCGGUUUGUUAAGUCAGAUGUGAAAUCCCCGAGCUUAACUUGGGAACUGCAUUUGAAACUGGCAAGCUAGAGUCUUGUAGAGGGGGGUAGAAUUCCAGGUGUAGCGGUGAAAUGCGUAGGGAUCUGGAGGAAUACCGGUGGCGAAGGCGGCCCCCUGGACAAAGACUGACGCUCAGGUGCGAAAGCGUGGGGAGCAAACAGGAUUAGAUACCCCGGUAGUCCCUGUCUCUUAUAC